This 1065-nucleotide ribosomal RNA is filed under the name Oocyclus sp. SLE0933. Its description in RNAcentral is "SSU rRNA". It matches the Rfam family "Eukaryotic small subunit ribosomal RNA", at positions 84 to 1080 of the family's 1831-position model. Lineage: Eukaryota; Metazoa; Arthropoda; Insecta; Coleoptera; Hydrophilidae. The record is from RNAcentral.
AAACCGCGAAAGGCUCAUUAAAUCAGUUAUGGUUCCUUAGAUCGUACCCACAUUUACUUGGAUAACUGUGGUAAUUCUAGAGCUAAUACAUGCAAACAGAGCCCCGACCGGAGACGGAAGGGCGUGCUUUUAUUAGAUCAAAACCAAUCGGUGGCGGGCUCGCUCGUCAUCGUACAUUUUGGUGACUCUGAAUAACAUUUUGCUGAUCGCACGGUCUCGCACCGGCGACGCAUCUUUCAAAUGUCUGCCUUAUCAACUGUCGAUGGUAGGUUCUGCGCCUACCAUGGUUGUAACGGGUAACGGGGAAUCAGGGUUCGAUUCCGGAGAGGGAGCCUGAGAAACGGCUACCACAUCCAAGGAAGGCAGCAGGCGCGCAAAUUACCCACUCCCGGCACGGGGAGGUAGUGACGAAAAAUAACGAUACGGGACUCAUCCGAGGCCCCGUAAUCGGAAUGAGUACACUCUAAACCCUUUAACGAGGAUCAAUUGGAGGGCAAGUCUGGUGCCAGCAGCCGCGGUAAUUCCAGCUCCAAUAGCGUAUAUUAAAGUUGUUGCGGUUAAAAAGCUCGUAGUCGAAUCUGUGUCCCGCGCCGCCGGUUCAUCGCUCGCGGUGUUCAACUGGCGAGCCGCGGGACGUCCUGCCGGUGGGCUUAGCCCUCGCUCGCGUGGGCGGCCCAACUUUAAAUCCCUCCGCGGUGCUCUUGACUGAGUGUCGAGGUGGGCCGGCACGUUUACUUUGAACAAAUUAGAGUGCUUAAAGCAGGCUAAAAUUUCGCCUGAAUAUUGUGUGCAUGGAAUAAUGGAAUAGGACCUCGGUUCUAUUUUGUUGGUUUUCGGAACCCCGAGGUAAUGAUUAAUAGGAACGGAUGGGGGCAUUCGUAUUGCGACGUUAGAGGUGAAAUUCUUGGAUCGUCGCAAGACGGACAGAAGCGAAAGCAUUUGCCAAAAACGCUUUCAUUGAUCAAGAACGAAAGUUAGAGGUUCGAAGGCGAUCAGAUACCGCCCUAGUUCUAACCAUAAACGAUGCCAGCUAGCGAUCCGCCGACGUUCCUCCGAUGACUCGGC